This 525-nucleotide ribosomal RNA is filed under the name uncultured bacterium. RNAcentral describes it as "partial 16S ribosomal RNA". It matches the Rfam family "Bacterial small subunit ribosomal RNA", at positions 382 to 909 of the family's 1533-position model. The record is from RNAcentral.
UCUGAUCCGCAUGCCGCGUGUGUGAAGAAGGCCUUCUGGUUUGAAAACUCCUUUUUUUGGAAAAAAAACCGGGGUUUUCUAACGCCGGGGACAUGACCGGAUGAAAAAAAUACGCACCGGUUAACUACAUGCCCCGCGGUAAUACAAUACGGUGCAGGCGUUAUCCGGAUUCAAUUUACUUUAAAGGGUGCGUAGGUGGGCGGUAAGUUAAUGGUGAAAUCUCCGGGCUUAACCCGGAAACUGAAGUUGAUACUAUUUGUCUUGAAUAUAGUGGAGGUGAGGGGAAUAUAAUUUGUAUGUUGAAAUGCUUGCAUAUGACAUGUAACAUAAUACCGAUGGCGCAAGGCGCCCCCUGUUAUUGACUGACACGCAUGAACGAAAGCGGGUCAAGCAAGAUUGAAUACCCUGCCAGUCCACCCCCUCCCCAAAGGAUACCCACUAUCUGUGAGGCAUUGUUGGUGUUUGAACGAAAGCUUAAGCUAUCCCUUCAGGGAAGGGGGACCGCGGGGUUGAAAUUCAAAUAAA